This 94-nucleotide transfer RNA is filed under the name archaeon 13_1_20CM_2_54_9. RNAcentral's name for it is "tRNA-Gln". It matches the Rfam family "tRNA". From Rfam's summary of the family: Transfer RNA (tRNA) molecules are approximately 80 nucleotides in length. Their secondary structure includes four short double-helical elements and three loops (D, anti-codon, and T loops). Further hydrogen bonds mediate the characteristic L-shaped molecular structure. tRNAs have two regions of fundamental functional importance: the anti-codon, which is responsible for specific mRNA codon recognition, and the 3' end, to which the tRNAs corresponding amino acid is attached (by aminoacyl-tRNA synthetases). tRNAs cope with the degeneracy of the genetic code in two manners: having more than one tRNA (with a specific anti-codon) for a particular amino acid; and 'wobble' base-pairing, i.e. permitting non-standard base-pairing at the 3rd anti-codon position. The record is from RNAcentral. RNAcentral also lists the same sequence under 2 other names.
AGCCCGGUGGUGUAGUGGACUAGCAAGGGUUCACCCCGGCCAAUGACGGGCUUUGGACCCGUCGACGGGAGUUCGAAUCUCCCCCGGGCUACCA